Molecule: unclassified non-coding RNA, 354 nt
Filed under: Hevea brasiliensis (rubber tree)
Lineage: Eukaryota; Viridiplantae; Streptophyta; Magnoliopsida; Malpighiales; Euphorbiaceae
Source: RNAcentral
AAACUUGAAGCUUUCUACAUUUGCGUAGAAGAGAAAAUUGAAUUAAAUGAAUUUAAAUGGUGUUUUAUGGGAUAGAAUGAAAAGCUCACCCUAAUUCAGUGGAUACAGAAAGGAAAGAAUUUGCGGUUAGCUCUCUAUUGCAAGUCAACUUAGGUAUUUUUGGGUUUCUUGAAUUUUGAAGGUUGUAUGAGAACAAUAAUCUUUGGAGUUUAUAAUUUUUUGGCGGUAAAUUGAUUGUAUAACGUUUCUCCUUUGUCUUUGUUUUGGUCAAAACUUGUUUUCCUUUCUUCCUCAUAUCUGUGCCUUUAUAAUAUAGCUUUUUGUUGAAUUAGGUCUUGUUCAGUAAAUGAGUGG